This 397-nucleotide ribosomal RNA is filed under the name uncultured bacterium. RNAcentral describes it as "partial 16S ribosomal RNA". It matches the Rfam family "Bacterial small subunit ribosomal RNA", at positions 338 to 732 of the family's 1533-position model. The record is from RNAcentral.
CCUACGGGUGGCUGCAGUGAGGAAUAUUGGUCAAUGGUCGGGAGCCUGAACCAUCCAAGUAGCGUGAAGGAUGACUGCCCUACGUGUCGUAAACUUCUUUUAUAAAGGAAUAAAGUGAGGCACGUGUGCCUGUUUGUAUGUACUUUAUGAAUAAGGAUCGGCUAACUCCGUGCCAGCAGCCGCGGUAAUACGGAGGAUUCGAGCGUUAUCCGGAUUUAUUGGGUUUAAAGGGAGCGUAGGUGGUUUGUUAAGUCAGUUGUGAAAAUUUGCGGCUCAACCGUAGACUGGCAAUUGAUACUGGCAGCCUUGAAUACAGUAGAGGUAGGCGGAAUGCGUGGUGUAGCGGUGAAAUGCUUAGAUAUCGCGCAGAACUCCGAUUGCGAAGGCAGCAUACUAA